UAAAGAUUUAGUAAUAAAGACAAUUUGUAUACAAAUUAUCUCCUGCCACACACUAUACCUUUAGAUUUUCAUUCAGGAUGUCUGAAUAGAAAAUUCCUUUGAUGAUAUCUUUAUAUGAAAAACAUUCCCAUCUAAUUUAAUGCACUUUCUAUAAUCUGAAUUUGAGAAUUUAAGCAUAAGUUAGACUUAAAAAAUUAAAGAAUAAAGUUACAUGAGUGGGCUCAUAUUGGUGAUUUGGAAUCUUGCAAAUUAGAUUUCCUUUCUGUUAUUGCUCAUGAUCAAUGUGCCUCAAUAUCCCUUUUAGUAAAAUUCUGUUUAAAAGAUAUUUUUGAUCCUCUGUUUCAUGUUUAAAUUAAAUUCAUUAGCAGCUGUCAACCUCCAAGGAAAAAUGUCAACACUAAUCUAGACAACAUCUGAAGGUGUCAGCUUUCCUUCAUUUAUCUCCUGUCCCCAGAAGGUCCGGAGCCAUCAAAUGAAAAACUCCAGAAUUUCCCACAAGGAAAUAAAUGGAACAUCACAAAGCAUAAAUGCACAAGGCAGUUCAUGUGCCUCAUAGAAAGUAAGAAGAAAGCUGGAUCAGGUCAAGGAGAAAAACAAGGCUGAAGGGCACAGUGGAGCUGAAUAUUGGAAAAAGGCUGAUGGCAAUUUGGAAGUGUGUAUGAAUGAAUGACCAAAGCACAUCAGACGACACACUUAGCUAUUCUGACAGUCUAAAACUGACCAUUAAAACAGCCAAAAAAAAAAAGGUGAAAAUUACCAAAAUGAAUCUAAAUGACAGGUGUCAAAAGAUUGUCAGUGUUUCCUAAAAGGUCUGUGGAAAUAUGUUUUCAUUAUGUUAAAUUCACAUCAAUUUCACAUAUAUCUGAGUACCUACUACUUCCAAAACAACGUUGGAGAUAAUGAAGGGAAUACAAGAAUGAAUAUGGUAUAAUCUCUGACAUCAGAAAGCUGAAAGUCUAUGAGAUGGCAUUACCAUAGUCUGGAGUACAACAUGGUGUAUUGAGUUAGCGCUGCCAAUUUUUGGAACCAAAUGUCUCUGAAAGGACAAUGCAGAAAGCCAUGGUAAAACUUGAUUACGCAUGUACAUGUUUGCAGAAGAAAAGAAGAUGUAAAAGGUCCUGUGGGUGUCACAGGUUAAGUGUGAGUAGGCUACAGAGGGUUCCCACUGUAGGGUGAAAAUUACUCUAUACUGGGGCUGUGCAGUAUUAUUAAGCUUGGUCCCUGAGAAGUCCAAAAGCAACUGUGGCAUUACAGGCUGUGAGGAAAAUGAAAGAAAAACUACACAAGGAGAAAGUAAGAGGAAUAGAGAAAAUACACCUGACCUCCUUCAAUUUUUGCCUAAACCCAGCCUUAAUAGUCCAUCUGUCGUGUUAAAACUUAUAUUGCUAAUAAGGAAAAGAGAGACCCCUCACAUUGUCCCUCACACUCCUUUUUUGUAUACACCCCCCAAACCGUUACUGCCUAAAUAAGAUUCUGUUGUUAAUGCCUCCUACUACUACGAAUUUUGAGGACAUUUCUGUUACAAUUUUAAAUAAAAUAAUUUUGAAUUUAUUUUCAAAUAUUUCAAAUGCAUUAAAAUAUGAUUAAAAACCAUCAGGCAUAAAAAAGUUUUCAUUAACAUCAUGAUUCAUAUAGGGAUUAUUUAGAACAUUCUGCAUUCUACCUGGGCAAAAGAUUGUUUUCCCUUUCUGAUAAGGGAAUAAGGGAUAAGAAAAACUGUCCUCCAUUGUCUGCAAAUAAGCCCUCUUGCUCAAAGUUCAAAAUCACCUUGAAAGAGACUUGCUUACAAAAAAUAUAAACAUAUGGAAUUUCCAAUGUUGUGCUUUACUUUAUCUGUUCGAACAGAAAAAUAACAACAUAGAGCAGGAAAUAUAUUUUUUUCUUGUUAUUUGAAGUUUUUUUUUUUAUUUGUUUUACUGCUUGGUCUGGGCAUUUGGUUUAUUAACUGUAACUCUUAAAAGCAGAGAUAAUUUUUGGAAAAUAUGAACCAGAGAGAGAAAUGUAAUGAAAACAAAAUUAAAUAAACCUUUCAAGUGCCAAAAAGAACAACUAACCCAACAGAGGUUAUUUUUAAAAAUACAACCGUAAUAUCCUGAAUUUGGUCAUAACCUAGAAUGUACACAAUCCUCCUGUUGAGUUAGUGAGGACAAAUUUAACUUUAGGAAUUCUCUGGGGAAAAAGGAAUUGUUCAUUCAAGGAAUAGUCCAGUUAAUGUUUAUUCCUUACCCUUUCCUUACCCUAAAGUCAUCCAUUUUUCCAUUGCUUUGAAGCAGCUUAUAAAUUUAGUAAUAACUACCAUUGUUGAGUGAUAAUUAAUCUGGCAUCCUGUGAAUGAAUUUAUUACAUGUAAAUUACCACAGUAUAUCUUCAAGCAGGCUCAAAUGCACAUGUGUAUAUCAUCUGUGAGAAAUAUUUUGAUCAACUCCAGAAUAGUGUAAAACAGUUUGGGAAAGAGUAGCUUUCAAAAAACCUAUUUUAAGGAAAUUGAACAAAUUAUCUCUAAUUUUGGCAACGCUAAUUUCACACAUUAUUGAAACUUUGAGGUAACUACAGGGUUUUUAGAUUAUAAUAUUUUUCAUUGACUAUAUAUAUACAUAAUAUGGAUAGACUAUACAAUAAUUAUUCAUUAAAAUCAGCUUCCAAUAUACUUCCUUAUUUUAAUUAUUAUUAUUAUUUUUAGAGACAGUGUCUUGCUCUGUUGCCCAGCCUAGUAUACAAUAGCAUGAUCAUACCUUAUGGCAGCCUUGAACUCCUGGACUCCAGUGAUCCUCCCACCUCAGCCUCCCAAGUAGCUAGGACUGCAGGCAUAUGCCACCACAUCUAGAUGAUUAAUUUUUUGUUUAAUAGAGACAGGAUCUCACUAUGUUGCUCAGGCUUGUCUCAAACUCCUCGCCUCAAGCAAUCUUCCCACCUUGGCCUCCCAAAGUGCUGGCAUUACAGGCAUGAGCCACCAUCCCUGCCCUCCACUAAAUUUUCUAUACUCUCUCAUGUGUUUUAUACUUUGUCAUCAUAAUUGAGUAUGGCAUCAAAG
RNAcentral lists this long non-coding RNA (3031 nucleotides) under Homo sapiens (human). RNAcentral's name for it is "HSALNT0125090". Lineage: Eukaryota; Metazoa; Chordata; Mammalia; Primates; Hominidae. The record is from RNAcentral.